GGAAGAUCUGAUCCCUAUCCACUAAUCGGUAAUAAGAACUGUAUUUUUGUUUGUUACAGUCCUAUCAGCGUUUGGUCAUCCCCUAGGAUUCACCAUCUCAGGAGCAGAGCUGGAGAGUAAAGGCAGCUGAAGUUGAAGACUAAAUCCUAGUGUUACAAUGAAGGACCUGAUUCGGGUUAUUUCCAAGUGUGUUGUCCAGCCCAUCAUCCCUUCUCAGGUCCCACCAUGGCCUUCUCAAAGGCCCUUCAUCUCCAACACACUAUUGGAACGUUCCUCUUCAUUCUCUUCGGUGGUUUAGCCUGGGUCACCAUUGUUCUAUCCAAUCUACCCAGCGAGGACCAUCAAUAGUGAACGCAAUUUGGUCUCUGCAGCCAGGACCAAAGCCAGCCACAGGGAACCACAGGGAGUGGAAUCAGUGCGGUUCCACUGCUCAUAGGAGGAGAGGUGGAUUCCAGAUGGCCACGCAGCGUG
This 471-nucleotide long non-coding RNA is filed under the name Chrysemys picta bellii (western painted turtle). RNAcentral's name for it is "lncRNA (ENSCPBG00000024525.1)". The record is from RNAcentral. Lineage: Eukaryota; Metazoa; Chordata; Testudines; Emydidae.